UACGUAGGGUGCGAGCGUUGUCCGGAAUUAUUGGGCGUAGAGAGCUUGUAGGCGGUUUGUCGCGUCUGCCGUGAAAAUCCGAGGCUCAACCUCGGACUUGCGGUGGGUACGGGCAGACUAGAGUGUGGUAGGGGAGACUGGAAUUCCUGGUGUAGCGGUGAAAUGCGCAGAUAUCAGGAGGAACACCGAUGGCGAAGGCAGGUCUCUGGGCCACUACUGACGCUGAGAAGCGAAAGCAUGGGGAGCGAACAGG
This 253-nucleotide ribosomal RNA is filed under the name uncultured bacterium. Its description in RNAcentral is "partial 16S ribosomal RNA". It matches the Rfam family "Bacterial small subunit ribosomal RNA", at positions 524 to 776 of the family's 1533-position model. The record is from RNAcentral.